GCGAAGCAUAGAAGGGUUUCCCAUCGCGCCGCCCCCGGUCCGCUUCCCGGUGGCGGAUGCGCCAGGGGAGGUCGGGACCGGGCGGACGAGGGAAAGCAGCCCAGGGGCCGUGAGGUUCGUCGGAUGUGGCCGUGUACUUCUCCCCGGAGGAGUGGGGGUGUCUGCGGCCCGCGCAGAAGGCCCUGAACCGGGACGUGACGCGGAAGACCUAUGGCUUUCUGGGCGCGCUCGUUGGAAAGAGAGGUGGAGGCGUGGAUCCCAGAGGCCCAGGAUCCAGGUCUCUGCAGCUGUGAGCAGAAACGAGGGAAAGGUCCUUCACUUCAAACCCCAGGUCGUGACCUUUGAGAACCUCUUCCCCCACUCGGAGCCUCAGCACACACUGCCCAUUCCAGAGCCCCUCCGUGUCUCCCUGCACCUGAUCUGCAGAAAGGGCUCAACAGAACAGCUGAAUUGAGACUGGUAGCACUUUUGGGGCUGCGUUGCCACCAUCUCUUAGGAAGGCACGUUCCAGUUCCAGUUCUGGUUCUGAUGCACCUUCAGACACCCGCGACUAGUGUUCAGUUCUCGGGCUGAGGCUCCUGGUCCCUCUUCCAAGUCCCACUUGAGGUUACUUCACUGAAAACCAUUCACCUAACUGGCUUUUCUUUCUGGAUUAUUCUCUCCCUUAGUGCAUUCUGCUUUCUGGACUAUCUCUCCCGCUUCUCAGAGACGGAGUACCCUAGAUGCAAGAGCCUAUUAAAGGAGCUUGUGCUCCCUGGAAUAGAGGGCACGCUUUGGGCUUGUCCGCACUGGGAAAGCUUAUCCAAGGAUUCUGUCUUUUAGCCAGAGCAGGUCAAGUAGCUAGCAAGGACACACGUAGUGUCAAGCCUCUGUUGGCAUUGUUUGGUCUUGAAGACUUAGAGGUGGUCGUAAAGAGGACAGUGGCUUCAGAUAUUUGCAUGUUUCCCGGAUUUUGCAUCUUUUGAAUAAAGAUGUAUUCUUUGGCCACAGCAACUGGAAAUAUGCUGGGGAAUUUUUUUUUUUUUUUUAAAGAAGGAGUAUAUUACUUGUGAUUACAGUUGAAACCAAGGCAUAGUUAUCUUCCGUCUUAAUUUUUACUGUAAUGUUUGUAUGUGUCAACAGUUGAGAGGUCUUUCUGACCUAUUUAGAUUUUCUAGCCCU
Molecule: long non-coding RNA, 1161 nt
Organism: Kogia breviceps (pygmy sperm whale)
Lineage: Eukaryota; Metazoa; Chordata; Mammalia; Artiodactyla; Physeteridae
Source: RefSeq, a predicted model, not a curated record